This 71-nucleotide transfer RNA is filed under the name Marmota marmota marmota (Alpine marmot). It matches the Rfam family "tRNA". From Rfam's summary of the family: Transfer RNA (tRNA) molecules are approximately 80 nucleotides in length. Their secondary structure includes four short double-helical elements and three loops (D, anti-codon, and T loops). The record is from Rfam by way of RNAcentral. Lineage: Eukaryota; Metazoa; Chordata; Mammalia; Rodentia; Sciuridae. RNAcentral also lists the same sequence under 1 other name.
GGGGUUAUGGCUCAGUGGUAGAGCGCUUGCCUAGCAUGUGUGAGGCCCUGGGUUCUAUCCCCAGCACCUCA